Lynx canadensis (Canada lynx) is the source of this 101-nucleotide long non-coding RNA. RefSeq lists it as uncharacterized. The record is from RefSeq and is a predicted model, not a curated record. The transcript has 3 exons. NCBI's taxonomy places the organism in Eukaryota, Metazoa, Chordata, Mammalia, Carnivora, Felidae.
CUACAUUCCAAAUGUUUUGAAUUGUCGUGUUUUCCUUUUGAUUGGCUUCCAUAUAUUUUUUUAAUUUCUUCUUUAAUUUCCUGGUUGACCCAUUCAUUCUU